GGCCCUGUGGUGGAACUGGCAGACACGGCAGACUCAAAAUCUGCUCCGGGCAACCGGGUGGGGGUUCAAGUCCCUCCAGGGCCA
This 84-nucleotide transfer RNA is filed under the name Binatia bacterium. RNAcentral describes it as "tRNA-Leu". It matches the Rfam family "tRNA". Rfam says of the family: Transfer RNA (tRNA) molecules are approximately 80 nucleotides in length. Their secondary structure includes four short double-helical elements and three loops (D, anti-codon, and T loops). Further hydrogen bonds mediate the characteristic L-shaped molecular structure. tRNAs have two regions of fundamental functional importance: the anti-codon, which is responsible for specific mRNA codon recognition, and the 3' end, to which the tRNAs corresponding amino acid is attached (by aminoacyl-tRNA synthetases). tRNAs cope with the degeneracy of the genetic code in two manners: having more than one tRNA (with a specific anti-codon) for a particular amino acid; and 'wobble' base-pairing, i.e. permitting non-standard base-pairing at the 3rd anti-codon position. The record is from RNAcentral. Lineage: Bacteria; Candidatus Binatota; Binatia (SeqCode).